RNAcentral lists this ribosomal RNA (496 nucleotides) under uncultured bacterium. RNAcentral's name for it is "partial 16S ribosomal RNA". It matches the Rfam family "Bacterial small subunit ribosomal RNA", at positions 28 to 506 of the family's 1533-position model. The record is from RNAcentral.
GAUGAACGCUGGCGGCGUGCCUAAUACAUGCAAGUCGAGCGAACGGACGAGAAGCUUGCUUCUCUGAUGUUAGCGGCGGACGGGUGAGUAACACGUGGAUAACCUACCUAUAAGACUGGGAUAACUUCGGGAAACCGGAGCUAAUACCGGAUGAUAUUUUGAACCGCAUGGUUCAAAAGUGAAAGACGGUCUUGCUGUCACUUAUAGAUGGAUCCGCGCUGCAUUAGCUAGUUGGUAAGGUAACGGCUUACCAAGGCAACGAUGCAUAGCCGACCUGAGAGGGGGAUCGGCCACCUUGGACCUGAGACCCGGCCCAGCCUCCUACGGGAGGCAGCAGUAGGGAAUCUUCCGCAAUGGGGGAAAGCCUGACGGAGCAACGCCGGGGGAGUGAUGAAGGUCUUCGGAUCGUAAAACCUUGUUAUUAGGGAAGAACAUAUGUGUAAGUAACUGUGCACAUCUUGACGGUACCUAAUCAGAAAGCCCCGGCUAACUACGU